This is a non-coding RNA of Amborella trichopoda, 1669 nucleotides long. The record is from RefSeq and is a predicted model, not a curated record. Lineage: Eukaryota; Viridiplantae; Streptophyta; Magnoliopsida; Amborellales; Amborellaceae.
GAUAAAAAAUUGGGGCCCGGCUCCAGUGGGUUUGUAAGCAAUCGACGAUUCUGCCCCAAAAAAGGGUUACAUCUCGAAACUUGAUAGGAUUGGUAGAGCUAAAGCCCUGAAUUUUAGUGUAGGCUUCCAUGGCCUUCUUCUGGUUUUUUGGGUUUUCAAAUUGAGGGGAAGAUUUGGAGAAGGCAGCGAUGCCAUGCCUCCGUCGACUGCAAAUUUCUAGAAUAUGAUUGGAGAAGGGAGCGAUGCCAUGCCUCUGCAGACUGCGAAUUUCUAGACUAUGGAGAAUGUCGCGGCUGCCUCAAGGCUUCCAACACCUCACCACCUUUCAAGCAUUGAAUCUUCCAUCGACGGGCGAUGAGUUUAUGGAGUGGCUGCGCAACGAAGAACGUUACGAAGUGGAGCACAUCUUGCUCAUUCAAGUUUGGCAGAAGACCACUGAAGGAUGGCAGAUUACCACUCUUUAGAAUGUUGCAUGUGCGUUCAUGAAUGAGAGCCGCUCCCAUAAACUCAUUCCAUGGUAAUCCUCUACCCCAAAUCUUCAUUUUCUUUCAGACAGUGUACCCGAGUCUCUCACUACCCUAGUCUUAUCCCAUUCCAUUAUCACCCAAGGCCCCUUUGCCAUCCUUCACUCGUUGCCCCAACUCACGGCUCUGGUUUUGCUCGGGUACUCAUAUGUUGGUAAAUGUCUAGCAAAAUGCAGCGCAGGCAGCUUCCCUAAGCUUCAAAUUCUACACCGAAGAUGGAGGAUGGGGUUCGGACGCCCACUAUAUGGUGACGUUUUUGGUGUCCAACAACAAUAACAACCUAAUUAUGAGUUCCCUGCAGUACGCCAACUAGUGUGAAGGCACCUGACAUUAUUGAUCUUCGAAAGCAACAAACGAAAGAGCCAAGGAAGCCUCUUUACCAAGUGAAUACAUUGAAAGAUUUUGGGCACAAUCUUCCAGUACUCAAAGAGAAGGAAGAAAGGAUUGCACCAGGAACCUUACUCGGAACAACACACAUGUAUGUGCUUGGGGCAAUGGAUAAAAUUGGUGCUAAAAGGGUUGAGCUACUACUAGGACAAAGUGGAUGUCACUCUUAGGUUGGAAGAAUCAUAGGCUUUGGAUGAUGUUACUUUGGCAGCAAAGGAAGGUAUUUUUUUUUAUAAUAGGAGCCCAGAUUCUUGAUGUGUUGUUUGAUGCAUGCAUGCAAAGUUUUACGCGUUUUAUGGGAGUGAGUUAUUCAUUAUUGGGUGACAUGGAUCAUGUAUGAGGAAGCAAGGGAAGAGGAGAAGCUAUGAAAUCAACGCAAAGGACUUCAGUGACAUGGUGGCAGAGGCUAAGAGAAAGAGGAAGCGCAAGAUGUAGGAAAAAAGAAGGGAAGGCAAAGAAGAAGGAUUUCAAGUUUUAGGCACAAAGCUAUACGUCAAAUUUGCAUAGCAUGAAUGCUCCCCCUCCCCCAUUGGAUAUAUUAUGUUUGGUGAAUGUAUUGUGAACUCUGAAAUUUGAAGGAUCUGACACAUUGAAAGUUCGUAUUGACAUGUAAAAUGUGAAGUUCUUUAGUUGAUCUUGGGCCCAUCUUGGUUCGAUUAAUGAAUGGACAGAGCAGCUAGCUGUACUAUUAAGGUAGGAGUGAUGUUUAAAGGGAAUUUGAUUGGUGAAUCUAUUCUGAGAUCGUCAAUGAAUCUUAA